GACGAACGCUGGCGGCGUGCUUAACACAUGCAAGUCGAACGGAAAGGCCCUGCUUUUGUGGGGUGCUCGAGUGGCGAACGGGUGAGUAACACGUGAGUAACCUGCCCUUGACUUUGGGAUAACUUCAGGAAACUGGGGCUAAUACCGGAUAGGAGCUCCUGCUGCAUGGUGGGGGUUGGAAAGUUUCGGCGGUUGGGGAUGGACUCGCGGCUUAUCAGCUUGUUGGUGGGGUAGUGGCUUACCAAGGCUUUGACGGGUAGCCGGCCUGAGAGGGUGACCGGCCAUAUUGGGACUGAGAUACGGCCCAGACUCCUACGGGAGGCAGCAGUGGGGAAUAUUGCACAAUGGGCGGAAGCCUGAUGCAGCAACGCCGCGUGCGGGAUGACGGCCUUCGGGUUGUAAACCGCUUUCGCCUGUGACGAAGCGUGAGUGACGGUAAUGGGUAAAGAAGCACCGGCUAACUACGUG
This 468-nucleotide ribosomal RNA is filed under the name uncultured bacterium. RNAcentral's name for it is "partial 16S ribosomal RNA". It matches the Rfam family "Bacterial small subunit ribosomal RNA", at positions 28 to 507 of the family's 1533-position model. The record is from RNAcentral.